Molecule: ribosomal RNA, 379 nt
Filed under: uncultured eukaryote
Lineage: Eukaryota
Description: partial 18S ribosomal RNA
Rfam family: Eukaryotic small subunit ribosomal RNA
Source: RNAcentral
CAAUAGCGUAUAUUAAAGUUGUUGCGGUUAAAAAGCUCGUAGUUGGAUUUCUGCUGAGAACGACCGGUCCGCCCUUUGGGUGUGUAUCUGGCUCUUUCUUGGCAUCUUCUUGGUGAACGUUGCUGCACUUGACUGUGUGGAGCGCUACCCAGGACUUUUACUUUGAGGAAAUUAGAGUGUUUCAAGCAGGCAUACGCCUUGAAUACAUUAGCAUGGAAUAAUAAGAUAGGACCUCGGUUCUAUUUUGUUGGUUUCUAGAGCUGAGGUAAUGAUUAAUAGGGAUAGUUGGGGGCAUUCGUAUUUAACUGUCAGAGUUGAAAUUCUUGGAUUUGUUAAAGACGGACUACUGCGAAAGCAUUUGCCAAGGAUGUUUUCAUUG